GAUGAACGCUGACAGAAUGCUUAACACAUGCAAGUCAACUUGAACUUCGGUUUGGGUGGCGGACGGGUGAGUAACGCGUAAAGAACUUGCCUCACAGUUAGGGACAACAUUUGGAAACGAAUGCUAAUACCUGAUGUUAUGAUUUUAGGGCAUCCUAGAAUUAUGAAAGCUAUAUGCGCUGUGAGAGAGCUUUGCGUCCCAUUAGCUAGUUGGAGAGGUAACGGCUCACCAAGGCGAUGAUGGGUAGCCGGCCUGAGAGGGUGAACGGCCACAAGGGGACUGAGACACGGCCCUUACUCCUACGGGAGGCAGCAGUGGGGAAUAUUGGACAAUGGACCAAGAGUCUGAUCCAGCAAUUCUGUGUGCACGAUGAAGUUUUUCGGAAUGUAAAGUGCUUUCAGUUGGGAAGAAAAAAAUGACGGUACCAACAGAAGAAGUGACGGCUAAAUACGUG
RNAcentral lists this ribosomal RNA (454 nucleotides) under uncultured bacterium. Its description in RNAcentral is "partial 16S ribosomal RNA". It matches the Rfam family "Bacterial small subunit ribosomal RNA", at positions 28 to 507 of the family's 1533-position model. The record is from RNAcentral.